GAUGUGAUUAAUGAUGCACAACUUUUUUCCCCGUCUUAUCGACUAUGGAGAAGAACUGAAAAAUAAGCCAAAUGUGUCUGAAACCACAUC
Molecule: small nucleolar RNA, 90 nt
Organism: Lampris incognitus (smalleye Pacific opah)
Lineage: Eukaryota; Metazoa; Chordata; Actinopteri; Lampriformes; Lampridae
Product: small nucleolar SNORD12/SNORD106
Exons: 1
Source: RefSeq, a predicted model, not a curated record